RNAcentral lists this non-coding RNA (45 nucleotides) under Schistosoma curassoni. Lineage: Eukaryota; Metazoa; Platyhelminthes; Trematoda; Strigeidida; Schistosomatidae. The record is from RNAcentral.
AGCCAGCUAAAGAGUUUCAAAUAGGACGAAACGCAUGUCCUAGAU